This 442-nucleotide transfer RNA is filed under the name uncultured Fibrobacteres/Acidobacteria group bacterium. Its description in RNAcentral is "partial 16S-23S ribosomal RNA intergenic spacer". The stretch from base 89 to 162 matches the Rfam family "tRNA". Lineage: Bacteria; Pseudomonadati. The record is from RNAcentral.
CCUCCUUUCAAGGAGCAUCUAUCUUUUUAAAGAUGGAGAUGGUCGAACCUUAUUAUGAACGACUCCAUACAUUUCUUUAAUUUUCAUUGGGUUUGUAGCUCAGUUGGUUAGAGCACCGCUCUGAUAAGGCGGGGGUCGGUAGUUCGAGUCUACCCAGACCCACAUUUAUGUUUCUGCGCUACGACCUAUUGUAAUAUGGGGCUGUAGCUCAGUUGGGAGAGCAUCGCGUUUGCAACGCGAGGGUCGCAGGUUCGAUCCCUGUCAGCUCCACAAGUUUUUUUUUGCUUUUUGACAUGGUUGAUUAUAUAGAACAAAUAAAGAUCUAAAGAAUAUUGUCUAUCUGUAAAUAAACAAUAGAGCUUAUUAAUAAAAGGUGUAAGUCAAGUACAUAAGGGCGUAUGGUGGAUGCCUUGGUAUGUAAAGAUGAUGAAGGACGUGGUAA